CAUUACAGAGUUGCAAAACUCCCUAAACCCUUGUGAACAUACCUGUAUGUCGUUGCUUCGGCGAGCAGCCCCUGGGAGGGGACUUGCCUCCUCGUGAGGUGUUCGCCGGAGGACCAUCAAAACUAUUGUAAUAAAUGGCCUCUAUGAGAAAACUUUUUAAAUAAGUAAAAACUUUCAACAACGGAUCUCUUGGUUCUGGCAUCGAUGAAGAACGCAGCGAAAUGCGAUAAGUAAUGUGAAUUGCAGAAUUCAGUGAAUCAUCGAAUCUUUGAACGCACAUUGCGCCCGCCAGUAUUCUGGCGGGCAUGCCUGUUCGAGCGUCAUUUCAACCCUCAAGCACUGCUUGGUGUUGGGGCAUUGCGGCCUGCCGCAAGCCCUGAAAAAUAGUGGCGGGCUCGCCGUAACUCCGAGCGCAGUAAUUUAUCUCGCUUUGGAAGAGUGGUGGGUGCUAGCCGUUAAACCCCCUAUUUUAUAAGGUUGACCUCGGAUCAGGUAGGAAUACCCGCUGAACUUAAGCAUAUCAAUAAGCGGAGGAAAAGAAACCAACAGGGAUUGCCCCAGUAGCGGCGAGCGAAGCGGCAACAGCUCAAAUUUGAAAUCUGGCUUCGGCCCGAGUUGUAAUUUGUAGAGGAUGCUUUUGGCAAGGCUCUUUCUGAGUCCACUGGAACGUGGCGCCAUAGAGGGUGAGAGCCCCGUAUAGUUGGAAGCCAAGCCUGUGUAAAGCUCCUUCGACGAGUCGAGUAGUUUGGGAAUGCUGCUCUAAAUGGGAGGUAAAUGUCUUCUAAAGCUAAAUACCGGCCAGAGACCGAUAGCGCACAAGUAGAGUGAUCGAAAGAUGAAAAGCACUUUGAAAAGAGGGUUAAAUAGCACGUGAAAUUGUUGAAAGGGAAAGCGCUUAUGACCAGACUUGCGCCGGGUUGAUCAUCCAGUGUUCUCACUGGUGCACUCUUCCCGGUUCAGGCCAGCAUCGGUACUGUUGGGGGCAUAAAGGCAGUGGGAACGUAUCUCUUUCGGGAGUGUUAUAGCCCAUUGUGCAAUACCCCCUACGGGACCGAGGACCGCGCUCG
RNAcentral lists this ribosomal RNA (1067 nucleotides) under Sordariomycetes sp. Ok 6. Its description in RNAcentral is "eukaryotic LSU rRNA". The stretch from base 479 to 1067 matches the Rfam family "Eukaryotic large subunit ribosomal RNA", at positions 1 to 601 of the family's 3401-position model. The record is from RNAcentral. Lineage: Eukaryota; Fungi; Ascomycota; Sordariomycetes.